This 445-nucleotide ribosomal RNA is filed under the name uncultured prokaryote. Its description in RNAcentral is "bacterial SSU rRNA". It matches the Rfam family "Bacterial small subunit ribosomal RNA", at positions 355 to 796 of the family's 1533-position model. The record is from RNAcentral.
UAGGGAAUAUUGGGCAAUGGGUGAGAGCCUGACCCAGCCAUGCCGCGUGUCGGAAGACGGCCCUCUGGGUUGUAAACGACUUUUAUACAGGAACAAGAGCUAAGACGGGUUCUUAGUGUGAGGGUACUGUAGGAAUAAGCACCGGCUAACUCCGUGCCAGCAGCCGCGGUAAUACGGAGGGUGCAAGCGUUGUCCGGAUUUAUUGGGUUUAAAGGGUACGUAGGCGGAUGCUUAAGUCCGGGGUGAAAGGCACUUGCUUAACAAGGGCACUGCCUUGGAUACUGGGUAUCUUGAGUGCCGUAGAGGUAGGCGGAAUUCAUGGUGUAGCGGUGAAAUGCAUAGAUACCAUGAGGAACACCGAUAGGGAAGCCAGCUUACUGUAGGGCAACUGACGCUGAGGUACGAAAGCGUGGGGAGCGAACAGGAUUAGAUACCCCCGUAGUCC